This 84-nucleotide non-coding RNA is filed under the name Ochromonas sp. CCMP1393. The record is from RNAcentral. Lineage: Eukaryota; Chrysophyceae; Chromulinales; Chromulinaceae.
UAAAAAAAAAGAAAUAAAUUAAAGAAGAAGAAGAAGAAGAAGAAGAAGAAGAAACUACUAGUGAAUGACCGCUUCAUCCUUUUU